RNAcentral lists this small RNA (118 nucleotides) under Klebsiella pneumoniae. Its description in RNAcentral is "partial RtT sRNA". It matches the Rfam family "RtT RNA", at positions 1 to 105 of the family's 130-position model. From Rfam's summary of the family: This family represents a bacterial cis-regulatory element known as RtT RNA. The exact function of RtT is unknown although it is thought that it may be involved in changing the cellular response in relation to amino acid starvation. The record is from RNAcentral. Lineage: Bacteria; Pseudomonadati; Pseudomonadota; Gammaproteobacteria; Enterobacterales; Enterobacteriaceae.
UAUUCUGCCCUACAGGGAAGGAUGAGAAGCUUCGACUAAGGUUCGACUAAGGUUCGACUCGAGCGAAGCGAGAGAACGUUGCCGCAGGCAACGGCCCGAAGGGCGAGGCGCUUUAGCG